UACGUAGGGGGCAAGCGUUGUCCGGAAUUAUUGGGCGUAAAGAGCGUGUAGGCGGUCCGGUAAGUCAGCUGUGAAAGUCAAGGGCUCAACCCUUGAAUGCCGGUUGAUACUGUCGGGCUAGAGUCCGGAAGAGGCGAGUGGAAUUCCCGGUGUAGCGGUGAAAUGCGCAGAUAUCGGGAGGAACACCGGUGGCGAAGGCGGCAUCCUGGACCGGCAUUGACGCUGAGGCGCGAAAGCUAGGGGAGCAAACGGG
This 253-nucleotide ribosomal RNA is filed under the name uncultured bacterium. RNAcentral describes it as "partial 16S ribosomal RNA". It matches the Rfam family "Bacterial small subunit ribosomal RNA", at positions 524 to 776 of the family's 1533-position model. The record is from RNAcentral.